Solanum tuberosum (potato) is the source of this 906-nucleotide long non-coding RNA. RefSeq lists it as uncharacterized. The transcript has 2 exons. NCBI's taxonomy places the organism in Eukaryota, Viridiplantae, Streptophyta, Magnoliopsida, Solanales, Solanaceae. The record is from RefSeq and is a predicted model, not a curated record.
UUUUUCAGAUGUCCACACCUUAAACGCCUUGUUAUGCUUUCUUGGAACAAAAUAAAAAAGCGAACGAUAUGCAGGGCUAUUCAUAUUUCGAAAGAUCUUGAAUCACUAACAAUGCCUAAUAUUGCACAUGUCAUCGAGGAAAUUGACAGGAGUUGCCAAUAAUUUUCUGAGCUCAAGAUUAUAGGGCCCUGUGAUAUGUUGUUUGCAUUUACACUGGUAUCAUUUCUUCCAAACUUGAAAGUGUUGAGUGUGAGGUGCAUAGUGAUAUCUAAACUUGCUUUGGUUAUUAUCUUAGAGGGGUUAAAAAAGUUGAAAGUGUUCAACAUAUCUCAUUGCGUAAUUACUGAUGGAGUUUCAAAAUAAAAAGAAGAUGAAGCUGUUGUGAUGGAAAAAGGAGAUUCUCCUGUAAGGAGAUGGGAGGACCUUGAUAUUAAUAUCUUGGUGAAGAUACUCCAGUCCUUUGACCUUUUUCAGUUUAUAUCUAUAAUUCCUCAAGUUUGUCGUGCAUGAUAAUUGGCUUGUUUUGAUCAACUUCUCUGGAAAAUGCUGGACUUAUCAGUAUUGCAAUCAAAUUUCAUCAGAAUCUCAAGGAAGCCUUACGUAUAUGUCGACAGUCCGUCUCAAAAAAAAUUGACCCGACUCCUAAAUAUUUGCUUGAACCUCAGUCAUGGUAACAUACAAACGUUGAUCUUCCAUCAUAAUUUGUAUGUUAACGACAAUCAGUUGACUUUUACUGCCAAGAGGUAUCCACGGCUUAAACGUCUUGUUAUGCCUUUUUGGAACAAAAUAAAAAAGUGAACAGUAUGCAGGGCUAUUCAUACAUGGGAAGAUCUUGAAUCACUAUCAAGGCCUAGUAAAAAAUCCUGCAUAUGUCAUUGAGGAAAUUGCCAGGAGUUGCAAAAAAAA